This 234-nucleotide ribosomal RNA is filed under the name uncultured bacterium. RNAcentral describes it as "partial 16S ribosomal RNA". It matches the Rfam family "Bacterial small subunit ribosomal RNA", at positions 15 to 233 of the family's 1533-position model. The record is from RNAcentral.
GAUCAUGGCUCAGGAUGAACGCUGGCGGCGUGCCUAACACAUGCAAGUCGAACGAGAUGCGUAUCGGAAAGCUUCGGCCGGAAGAUAUGUUAUCUAGUGGCGGACGGGUGAGUAACACGUGGGUAACCUGCCUUAUGGAGGGGGAUAACAGAGAGAAAUCACUGCUAAUACCGCAUAAGCACACAGUACCGCAUGGUAGAGUGUGAAAAGAUUUAUCGCCAUAAGAUGGACCCG